Nematolebias whitei (Rio pearlfish) is the source of this 232-nucleotide long non-coding RNA. RefSeq lists it as uncharacterized. Lineage: Eukaryota; Metazoa; Chordata; Actinopteri; Cyprinodontiformes; Rivulidae. The record is from RefSeq and is a predicted model, not a curated record. The transcript is spliced from 3 exons.
GCAGGGCCAGCAGGUAGUGUCGAAACCUCAACAUCAUGUGAUUCAUCGAGCAGGGUCCGAGCACUGAGAACACCUAGAGCCAGCCUGAGAACGCCUCUUACUAAAUCCAAAGGAUUUAGUAAGAGGUCAAUAAGAGUUUGUGCUAGAUGUGGUGUUCUUCAGGAGGAGCUCAAACAAAAAUCAGAUGAAAUACAGAAGCUGAAACAAGAACUUCAAAAAUACCAAAAACAAG